This 263-nucleotide ribosomal RNA is filed under the name uncultured archaeon. RNAcentral describes it as "partial 16S ribosomal RNA". It matches the Rfam family "Archaeal small subunit ribosomal RNA", at positions 719 to 982 of the family's 1478-position model. The record is from RNAcentral.
ACAGUCACACAUUAGAUACCCGCGUAGUCCCAGCCCUAAACGAUGCGCGUUAGGUGUAUCGGUGACCACGAGUCACCGAGGUGCCGAAGGAAACCGUGAAACGUGCCGCCUGGGAAGUACGGUCGCAAGGCUGAAGCUUAAAGGAAUUGGCGGGGAGCACCACAACGGGUGGAGCCUGCGGUUUAAUUGGACUCAACGCCGGGAAGCUCACCGGAUAAGACAGCGGAAUGAUUGCCGGGCUGAAGACUCUGCAUGACUAGCUG